GAUGAACGCUGGCGGCGUGCCUAACACAUGCAAGUCGAGCGAUUUACUUCGGUAAAGAGCGGCGGACGGGUGAGUAACGCGUGGGUAACCUGCCCUGUACACACGGAUAACAUACCGAAAGGUAUGCUAAUACGAGAUAAUAUACUUUUAUCGCAUGGUAGAAGUAUCAAAGCUCCGGCGGUACAGGAUGGACCCGCGUCCGAUUAGCUAGUUGGUAAGGUAACGGCUUACCAAGGCGACGAUCAGUAGCCGACCUGAGAGGGUGAUCGGCCACAUUGGAACUGAGACACGGUCCAAACUCCUACGGGAGGCAGCAGUGGGGAAUAUUGCACAAUGGGCGAAAGCCUGAUGCAGCAACGCCGCGUGAGCGAUGAAGGCCUUCGGGUCGUAAAGCUCUGUCCUCAAGGAAGAUAAUGACGGUACUUGAGGAGGAAGCCCCGGCUAACUACGUGCCAGCAGCCGCGGUAA
This 468-nucleotide ribosomal RNA is filed under the name uncultured bacterium. RNAcentral describes it as "partial 16S ribosomal RNA". It matches the Rfam family "Bacterial small subunit ribosomal RNA", at positions 28 to 523 of the family's 1533-position model. The record is from RNAcentral.